GAUCAUGGCUCAGGAUGAACGCUGGCGGCGUGCUUAAUACAUGCAAGUCGAACGAAGCACCUUGGACAGAAUCCUUCGGGAGGAAGACCAUUGUGACUGAGUGGCGGACGGGUGAGUAACGCGCGGGUAACCUGCCUUGUACAGGGGGGAUAACAGUUGGAAACGACUGCUAAUACCGCAUAAGCGCACAGUACCGCAUGGUACGGUGUGAAAAACUCCGGUGGUACAAGAUGGACCCGCGU
Molecule: ribosomal RNA, 242 nt
Filed under: uncultured bacterium
Lineage: Bacteria
Description: partial 16S ribosomal RNA
Rfam family: Bacterial small subunit ribosomal RNA
Source: RNAcentral